UACGUAGGGUGCAAGCGUUGUCCGGAAUUAUUGGGCGUAAAGAGCUCGUAGGCGGCUCGGUAAGUCAGGUGUGAAACCUCCAGGCUCAACCUGGAGACGCCACCUGAUACUGCCGUGGCUAGAGUCCGGUAGAGGAGCGUAGAAUUCCUGGUGUAGCGGUGAAAUGCGCAGAUAUCAGGAGGAAUACCAGCGGCGAAGGCGGCGCUCUGGGCCGAUACUGACGCUGAGGAGCGAAAGCGUGGGGAGCGAACAGG
This 254-nucleotide ribosomal RNA is filed under the name uncultured bacterium. RNAcentral describes it as "partial 16S ribosomal RNA". It matches the Rfam family "Bacterial small subunit ribosomal RNA", at positions 524 to 776 of the family's 1533-position model. The record is from RNAcentral.